This is a long non-coding RNA of Hypomesus transpacificus, 1166 nucleotides long. RefSeq lists it as uncharacterized. The record is from RefSeq and is a predicted model, not a curated record. The transcript has 4 exons. NCBI's taxonomy places the organism in Eukaryota, Metazoa, Chordata, Actinopteri, Osmeriformes, Osmeridae.
ACUCAACGUUGCCCGCAACCUCUGUGGGUCACGUAGGUUUUGUGUCAUUUGCAACAACGCAGUCUAAUCGAUUUGCUAACGGUAGCUAGCCUACCUGUUUCUUCCUUAGCAAAAAUCAUGGCGUGACAAAACCCAGCAAAAAGUUGUUUCCGAAAAUUGCAAAUUUCAGACAGAAUGGACUGGCAAGUACGCAUUUGUGUUGCCGUUGGGGAGCAAAAAAACGAUGUGUUUAAUCUGCAAUGAGACGGUUGCCCUUGUCAAAAGUCGUAGAGCUAACGUGAAAUGUCACUAUGACACAAAGCAUAGAUACUUUGAACAAAAUUACACCCAGAAGUCUGGUCUAUGGGAGAAAGAUGUCCAGGGGGUGCCCUCCUAAACCUACACCUAUUUUGAAUGGGAGUCAAUGGGAGAGGUAAGGGCCAGAAAAAUAAACCAUGGUCCGUUCCGGACCUAGGAAUGAAUGGGAAUUUGGAUCUGAAACUACUACUGAUAGCACACAGAACCAGGCAAGACAUUACAAACUUCUUCAGGAGCUGUACAAAUCCAAGCUCAAACCCAAUAAGAAGGAUGUUGCCCAGCUGUUGGACCUUGAGUACCAAGCAAGAUGGAAAUUCAUCGACUCUGAUGCUCUUAGGGAGCGGGACAGGCCUACCAAGAUUCUUCAAGCAUAUCCCUGCUUCAGAGAACUGGAUCAUUAAAGCAAUCUGUUGCCGUGAUUAAGGCUUUGCCAGACUUGUUCCCAUCAUCUGUGGCUCACAAGAAAUUAGGACAUGCAAGUGCGGCUAUGCUUCACAUCCUUAAGUCUGCAGAAGACCCCAACACCUUUCUUCAGGCAAGACCACUCUCCAGCCCUGUUGUGAUUGUCUGUGAAACCAACUGCAUACUGGCCAUUGGAACCAUGCCUGUGCUGACCUUCCCAAAGGAAGACCUCUCUGUCAGUGUGAUGUACAUCCUUGCAUGUUACUACACCUUUCACCUUACAUAUUCCUCUCUGUGCUGCAGACAGAAGUCCUCUUGGACUCCAUCCAUGACCGAGAUAUGACUUUGUCAUAUAAAAAAGCAAUGGCUGAGUGGAAGACGUUCAUUGCUGAAUAGGCUUGAACAUUAGUAAUAACGUAGAUGCCUGACCCCAAUACAAUGUUUUGGAGGAGCUGUUGUUGUUUUUU